UACAGAGGGUGCGAGCGUUAAUCGGAAUUACUGGGCGUAAAGCGCGCGUAGACGGUUUUGUAAGUCAGAUGUGAAAUCCCCGGGCUCAACCUGGGAACUGCAUCUGAAACUGCAUGGCUAGAGUACGGUAGAGGGAAGUGGAAUUUCCGGUGUAGCGGUGAAAUGCGUAGAUAUCUGCAGGAACACCCGUGG
Molecule: ribosomal RNA, 192 nt
Filed under: uncultured prokaryote
Description: partial 16S ribosomal RNA
Rfam family: Bacterial small subunit ribosomal RNA
Source: RNAcentral